CAGCAGCCGCGGGAAUACGAAGGGUGCGAGCGUUAAUCGGAAUUACUGGGCGUAAAGCGUGCGUAGGCGGUUUGUUAAGUCUGCUGUGAAAUCCCCGGGCUCAACCUGGGAAUGGCAGUGGAUACUGGCAAGCUGGAGUGUGUCAGAGGAUGGUGGAAUUCCCGGUGUAGCGGUGAAAUGCGUAGAGAUCGGGAGGAACAUCAGUGGCGAAGGCGGCCAUCUGGGACAACACUGACGCUGAGGCACGAAAGCGUGGGGAGCAAACAGGAUUAGAUACCCGUGUAGUCCCUGUCUCUUAUAC
Molecule: ribosomal RNA, 301 nt
Filed under: uncultured bacterium
Lineage: Bacteria
Description: partial 16S ribosomal RNA
Rfam family: Bacterial small subunit ribosomal RNA
Source: RNAcentral